UUGAGACGCAUUGAUAGAGCC
RNAcentral lists this small RNA (21 nucleotides) under Arabidopsis thaliana (thale cress). Its description in RNAcentral is "ATSL126620". Lineage: Eukaryota; Viridiplantae; Streptophyta; Magnoliopsida; Brassicales; Brassicaceae. The record is from RNAcentral.